RNAcentral lists this ribosomal RNA (195 nucleotides) under Triticum aestivum (bread wheat). RNAcentral's name for it is "partial small subunit ribosomal RNA". The record is from RNAcentral. Lineage: Eukaryota; Viridiplantae; Streptophyta; Magnoliopsida; Poales; Poaceae.
AUGGACGGGCUCCUCCAUUGGGAUUUCAACCCCGGCCUCAAGGUCGAGGAACAGGUUUGUCGACGGUUCAAAUCUUCGGUCCAUUUCUCCCCUUCACCUAUCUCCAAGGAGUUUUUCUUGGUGGUCACCUUCUCUUUUGCCUCCUUUCCCCUAUCUUGUGACUCGGUUGGUUUGGCACUCCAAUGUUGCAUUGGA